RNAcentral lists this ribosomal RNA (206 nucleotides) under uncultured bacterium. RNAcentral describes it as "partial 16S ribosomal RNA". It matches the Rfam family "Bacterial small subunit ribosomal RNA", at positions 568 to 774 of the family's 1533-position model. The record is from RNAcentral.
UGCGUAGGUGGUUUCUUAAGUCAGAGGUGAAAGGCUACGGCUCAACCGUAGUAAGCCUUUGAAACUGGGAAACUUGAGUGCAGGAGAGGAGAGUGGAAUUCCUAGUGUAGCGGUGAAAUGCUUAGAUAUCACGAAGAACUCCGAUUGCGAAGGCAGCCUGCUAAGCUGCAACUGACAUUGAGGCUCGAAAGUGUGGGUAUCAAACA